RNAcentral lists this ribosomal RNA (495 nucleotides) under uncultured bacterium. RNAcentral describes it as "partial 16S ribosomal RNA". It matches the Rfam family "Bacterial small subunit ribosomal RNA", at positions 28 to 507 of the family's 1533-position model. The record is from RNAcentral.
GACGAACGCUGGCGGCGUGCCUAAUACAUGCAAGUAGAACGCUGAAGGAGGAGCUUGCUUCUCCGGAUGAGUUGCGAACGGGUGAGUAACGCGUAGGUAACCUGCCUGGUAGCGGGGGAUAACUAUUGGAAACGAUAGCUAAUACCGCAUAACAGUAGAUGUUGCAUGACAUUUGCUUAAAAGGUGCAAUUGCAUCACUACCAGAUGGACCUGCGUUGUAUUAGCUAGUUGGUGAGGUAACGGCUCACCAAGGCGACGAUACAUAGCCGACCUGAGAGGGUGAUCGGCCACACUGGGACUGAGACACGGCCCAGACUCCUACGGGAGGCAGCAGUAGGGAAUCAUCGGCAAGGGACGGAAGGCUGAACGAGCAACGCCGCGGGAGGGAAGAAGGGUUUCGGAUCGUAAAGCUCUGUUGUAAGAGAAGAACGAGUGUGAGAGUGGAAAGUUCACACUGUGACGGUAUCUUACCAGAAAGGGACGGCUAACUACGUG